RNAcentral lists this ribosomal RNA (496 nucleotides) under uncultured bacterium. RNAcentral's name for it is "partial 16S ribosomal RNA". It matches the Rfam family "Bacterial small subunit ribosomal RNA", at positions 28 to 506 of the family's 1533-position model. The record is from RNAcentral.
GACGAACGCUGGCGGCGUGCCUAAUACAUGCAAGUUGAGCGCUGAAGGUUGGUACUUGUACCGACUGGAUGAGCAGCGAACGGGUGAGUAACGCGUGGGGAAUCUGCCUUUGAGCGGGGGACAACAUUUGGAAACGAAUGCUAAUACCGCAUAAAAACUUUAAACACAAGUUUUAAGUUUGAAAGAUGCAAUUGCAUCACUCAAAGAUGAUCCCGCGUUGUAUCAGCUAGUUGGUGAGGUAAAGGCUCACCAAGGCGAUGAUACAUAGCCGACCUGAGAGGGUGAUCGGCCACAUUGGGACUGAGACACGGCCCAAACUCCUACGGGAGGCAGCAGUAGGGAAUCUUCGGCAAUGGACGAAAGUCUGACCGAGCAACGCCGCGUGAGUGAAGAAGGUUUUCGGAUCGUAAAACUCUGUUGGUAGAGAAGAACGUUGGUGAGAGUGGAAAGCUCAUCAAGUGGCGGUAACUACCCAGAAAGGGACGGCUAACUACGU